This is a non-coding RNA of Schizosaccharomyces pombe (fission yeast), 1000 nucleotides long. The record is from the annotation of a GenBank genome assembly. NCBI's taxonomy places the organism in Eukaryota, Fungi, Ascomycota, Schizosaccharomycetes, Schizosaccharomycetales, Schizosaccharomycetaceae.
UAUAAGAAUAGCCCAAAUCUCAUCCAAUUAGCACACAAAUUUCAGUCUAAUUGAUAGAACUAUUAAUUGAGUGUUGGGUACUAGCAUUUCCUAAAGAAGCAAGAGAAGAGUGACUAGUAUUCAAAGAACGACGUUUAGGUUUCUGACCCAUAUGGCUAUUUACCAAGGAAGAAAUACGAUUAACAACCGGUAGCGGGUAACGCUUGCGUUUCAAUUGUUCCACAAUUUCCAUUGCCUUUCGACCGUCAUUUACACUUAGGUAGGCACGAACCAUAUUUUCAUAGGUGCUAGGUUCCUUACCAGACAUACCCUCGCAUUCUAAAAGGUCGAAGUAAUAACGUGCUUUGCUAAUCAUGCCAACCUUAGUAAAUCCCUUUAUAAGGGCAUUUACAAUGUAUGCAUUUAACGAGACAUUGUAACGCUUCAUAUCAGAAACAAUUUGAAUGCCUUCAACAAUGCGGUCAUUUGCAAUAAGAGAUUCAAUUUGGGAUUGGAAUAAGUUCGCAUCUAGUUGAAUUUCCCCGGCAUCAUGUUUGGCAAGAGCAUUCAUGUAGCAACUCGUGGCUGCCUGAACAUCCGAAACAACGUUUCCUAAAAUAUGAAUAUAUGCAGCAUAAUGCAUAGAUAAAAUUGGCACAUCUGUACGCUCCAUAAGUUCAAGAACUGCCUUUACGGAACCUACAUUGACAGGCUUCAAUGUACCAUAAGCAUCCAUCAAUAACUUAUAAGUAUGAGAAGAAGGCUCUAUGUCGGUAGCACAUAGCCUAUUGUAGUAAAAUAGCGCUUUUUCACGAUUAAACAUUGUCUGGACCUCAAAUUGUAUCAUAGUGUUGUAUGGAGCAACGCGAGGUUGAUAGUUAGGCUGAUUUUCCAUUUCAGCAAAUAGCUUCUCAGCAAGACUCUCGUCACCAAUGCGACAAGCAGCAUUAAUUACGGUACCAUAAGUAACGCUGGUAGGAAGUAACCCCGAUUCCUUCAUUUCUUGAAACAAUUUCCAGCA